RNAcentral lists this ribosomal RNA (154 nucleotides) under Veillonella parvula. RNAcentral describes it as "partial 16S ribosomal RNA". It matches the Rfam family "Bacterial small subunit ribosomal RNA", at positions 37 to 183 of the family's 1533-position model. Lineage: Bacteria; Bacillati; Bacillota; Negativicutes; Veillonellales; Veillonellaceae. The record is from RNAcentral.
UGGCGGCGUGCUUAACACAUGCAAGUCGAACGAAGAGCGAUGGAAGCUUGCUUCUAUCAAUCUUAGUGGCGAACGGGUGAGUAACGCGUAAUCAACCUGCCCUUCAGAGGGGGACAACAGUUGGAAACGACUGCUAAUACCGCAUACGAUCUAA